This 752-nucleotide ribosomal RNA is filed under the name uncultured bacterium. RNAcentral describes it as "bacterial SSU rRNA". It matches the Rfam family "Bacterial small subunit ribosomal RNA", at positions 69 to 815 of the family's 1533-position model. The record is from RNAcentral.
GUAACGCGGGGGCAACCCUGGCGACGAGUGGCGAACGGGUGAGUAAUACAUCGGAACAUGUCCUGGAGUGGGGGAUAGCUCGGCGAAAGCCGGAUUAAUACCGCAUACGCUCUGAGGAGGAAAGCGGGGGACCCGCAAGGGCCUCGCGCUGCAGGAGUGGCCGAUGUCGGAUUAGCUAGUUGGUGAGGUAAAGGCUCACCAAGGCGACGAUCCGUAGCUGGUCUGAGAGGAUGAUCAGCCACACUGGGACUGAGACACGGCCCAGACUCCUACGGGAGGCAGCAGUGAGGAAUAUUGGACAAUGGGCGCAAGCCUGAUCCAGCCAUGCCGCGUGCAGGAUGACGGUCCUAUGGAUUGUAAACUGCUUUUGCACAGGAAGAAACAACGCUACGUGUAGCGUCUUGACGGUACUGUGAGAAUAAGGAUCGGCUAACUCCGUGCCAGCAGCCGCGGUAAUACGGAGGAUCCAAGCGUUAUCCGGAAUCAUUGGGUUUAAAGGGUCCGUAGGCGGUUUAGUAAGUCAGUGGUGAAAGCCCAUCGCUCAACGGUGGAACGGCCAUUGAUACUGCUAGACUUGAAUUAUUAGGAAGUAACUAGAAUAUGUAGUGUAGCGGUGAAAUGCUUAGAGAUUACAUGGAAUACCAAUUGCGAAGGGCAGGUUACUACUAAUUGGAUUGACGGCUGAUGGACGAAAAGCGUGGGGUAGCGAACAGGAUUAGAUACCCUGGUAGUCCACGCCGUAACGAUGAAUG